Long non-coding RNA from Calidris pugnax (ruff), 1595 nucleotides. RefSeq lists it as uncharacterized. The transcript is spliced from 3 exons. Lineage: Eukaryota; Metazoa; Chordata; Aves; Charadriiformes; Scolopacidae. The record is from RefSeq and is a predicted model, not a curated record.
CAGUGACUCCCCCCAGCCCAGAGCAGCGAAAUGCGGCGAAGGAGCUUGGUUGUAGGUCGGCGCAGGUGCUGGCUGGGUGCUGGGGACAGGCUGCAGUGUCCCGGGGGGAGCAGGGACAGGACAAGACUGUGCUGGGUGUCACCACUGGGCUGUGGCUGAUCAACUAAACUGAUUGUGGCAGCUGGGAGGAACUGGAAUGAAACACCCUGAUCUGCUGCUCUGCAAUCAUGGUCUGUGGAACCUCCCAGUGUGACAUGAACAGCUGUGGUGGUAGAACUGGAUCCAAGCAUGGACUGAAACAGCCUUUGGCAGAGGUGUUGGUACAUGGGCGCAAGACUGUAUGAGGUUUCACAUCCCCGUGUCCUCUGGGGCAAGAGGAGAAGAAUGGCUUCUGCUUGAGCGAUGGGAAACGUGGAGGUGUCCCUGAGUCCUUCAGGAUGGAGGAGUGUUCCCCCACCCAGAGGUGCCUGGGGCUACAGGCAGAAGGUCCUGGUGGUGGCUGUGCUGGUGGCUCUGGUCCUGGCUCUGGCCGUGGCUGUUGCUGGACUCUCAGGGCUCCAUGGGGGAGAGGAACGGGUUCUGCUCCAGCAGUGGGAGCGUGGAGGAGCCCCUGAGUCCCCCUGAUGGAGGGGCGUCCCCCCACCUGGAGGUGUCCUGUGGUGGGACGGUGUGUGAGCCAAUGCAGGCAGGACGCAGGAACAACCAGGAGACCGCAAAUAAAGGAACAGAACAAGUUUAAUCUUGAUACCUCACAACUCGGGGAGUCCCCGAAGCAGCACCCAGGUGGAGACAGGCAAGCAGGGACCGCAGGGACCGCAAAGCCAGUAAGAGUCCUUGUGAGCCAGCCAGCCAGCCUCCUUGCUGUUUGUUUGUUAGCCAGCUAGCCGGCCAGCGUCCUUGCUGUCUGUUAGUUAGCCAGCCCGCCAGCCUCCUUGCUGUCUGUGUGUUAGCCAGCCAGCCUCUUUGCUGUUAGGCUGUUAGCCCUAUAAACUGUGGGUCUUCGCCCCCCGCCUUACCUCUCUUCCCACCCAGCGACCGCUGCUGCCCUGGAAAGGGAAAGGUGUUAAUACCGCGGCUUCGGGGCACCAAACCCCACCCCAAGUCUGCUCCGAACGUGAUCCCCGAGCAACGGGACUGAAAGUGAUGAAAUUGCUUCACAGCCACGUGACAGGGUUCCUGAACCACAAAUGAUUUACCAUAUGAUUUUCACCCAAACCCGGGGCGGGGCCGGGCGGAUCGUGAGGGGAGGGGCGGGUUCUGAGGGAGAGUUCAGGCGGCGAUAAAUAGUCAGAUCGGGUGGGCGGCCAGGGAUAUAAAUACAGACUUUAUCCGCCGGUCUGGCGUGACGAGCGGAGCAGUUUGUGUGCGCGGGCUGACUCGGUGUAACCCGUGGGGCAGGUAAGGCCCGUCCAUGGGCACUGCUGGGGCCCCGGUCGCUCGUUGGGGGCUGUGGGGAAGGGCUCCCGUCGGGCUGGGGCUCCCCGUGCGCCCCCGCCAUCGCCCGCCUCCCUCCGGGGCCGGGGAGGCAGCGGCUGGUGGUGGCCUCCCCCUGCCCGCUGUGCCCUGGGCGGGUUUUGGGGUCUGCGGGGUCCGGA